GGCUCUAGUGGGUUGGGCCUUGCUGGCGUGAGUGUUGCCAGUGACUUGGACGGGGCUGUGCGGGUCGUGCACAACUCCACCCGACCUGUCCUUCUUGGCUGCUCCACCCUCGUCUUCACAUCAAGCCUUCACCUCCGCCCUCAGCCCCUCACCCCUGCCCUCUGCCAUCCCAUCACCUCCGCCCUCAGCUCCCCACCCCGCCCUCUGCCAUCCCAUCACCUCUGCCCUCAGCUCCCCACCCCUGCCCUCUGCCAUCCCAUCACCUCCGCCCUCAGCUCCUCACCCCUGCCUCUGCCAUCCCAUCACUCCACCCUCAGCUCCCCACCCCUGCCCUCUGCCAUCCUUCACCUCCGCCCUCAGCUCCCCACCCCUGCCCUCUGCCAUCCCAUCACCUCCGCCCUCAGCUCCCCACCCCUGCCCUCUGCCAUCCCAUCACCUCCGCCCUCAGCUCCCCACCCCUGCCCUCUGCCAUCCCAUCACCUGCACCCUCAGCUCCUCACCCCUGCCCUCUGCCAUCCCAUCACCUCCACCCUCAGCUCCCCACCCCUGCCCUCUGCCAUCCCAUCACCUCGCCCUCAACUCCCCACCCCUGCCCUCUGCCAUCCCAUCACCUCGCCCUCAGCUCCUCACCCCUGCCCUCUGCCAUCCUAUCACCUCUGCCCUCAGCUCCUCACCCCUGCCCUCUGCCAUCCCAUCACCUGCACCCUCAGCUCCUCACCCCUGCCCUCUGCCAUCCCAUCACCUGCACCCUCAGCUCCUCACCCCUGCCCUCUGCCAUCCCAUCACCUGCACCCUCAGCUCCUCACCCCUGCCCUCUGCCAUCCCAUCACCUGCACCCUCAGUUCCUCACCCCUGCCCUCUGCCAUCCCAUCACCUGCACCCUCAGCUCCUCACCCCUGCUCUCUGCCAUCCCAUCACCUGCACCCUCAGCUCCUCACCCCUGCCUCUGCCAUCCCAUCACCUCCGCCCUCAGUCCUCACCCCUGCCCUCUGCCAUCCCAUCACCUCCGCCCUCAGUCCUCACCCGCGCCCUCUGCCUUGGUCUCUGACGCUGGCACACGCUGGCAGGACUCCCUCCUGCACGGUCCCCUCCUGUCUUUCUCAGUCUCACACACUCCUUUUCAGAUGCACCUGUCACAUUAGCUUAGGAGCGGGGACAGCAGGGCCAGAGGAUGUGCCAGGGUGGCCGGCAAUGCCCACGGGCUUUGACAGACGCACCUGA
Molecule: long non-coding RNA, 1221 nt
Filed under: Oryctolagus cuniculus (rabbit)
Lineage: Eukaryota; Metazoa; Chordata; Mammalia; Lagomorpha; Leporidae
Description: lncRNA (ENSOCUG00000037976.1)
Source: RNAcentral